GAGUUGAUACCUCAGGGGUUUGUUCACUUGGUGAGGAUAUAGAUAGCAUAGAUGAUUCCAGGGAGCCACCCAAAUAUGGUCAGCAACACACAGAUCCAAAACUCCACCUGCAACACCACCCCGUCGUCGCCGCCACCGCCACCACAAAAACCGUCAAUACCAUCUAAUUGAAACUUACCAUACACAUAUUCUUCAAAACAAUACAUACUAUUACUCUAUAUCUUCUGUAUACGUGCACAUAGAGAGAGAGAGAGAGAGAGAGAGAGAGAGAGAGAGAGAGAGAACCUCGCAUUCAUAACGGAGGAAAACACCCAGAGGCGGCAAGAUGAUGGCCAAGAUGAUUUCGAAGAAGGUGGCUCUUCCCAUUUU
Molecule: long non-coding RNA, 369 nt
Organism: Rhododendron vialii
Lineage: Eukaryota; Viridiplantae; Streptophyta; Magnoliopsida; Ericales; Ericaceae
Exons: 2
Source: RefSeq, a predicted model, not a curated record